Molecule: ribosomal RNA, 253 nt
Filed under: uncultured bacterium
Lineage: Bacteria
Description: partial 16S ribosomal RNA
Rfam family: Bacterial small subunit ribosomal RNA
Source: RNAcentral
UACGUAGGUGGCAAGCGUUGUCCGGAGUUAUUGGGCGUAAAGCGCGCGCAAGCGGUGCGGUAAGUCUCUGGUGAAAGCGCUCGGCUUAACUGGGCGAGGGCCGUGGAGACUGCCGGACUGGAGGGGAGCAGAGGCGAGUGGAAUUCCGGGUGUAGUGGUGAAAUGCGUAGAGAUCCGGAGGAACACCAGUGGCGAAGGCGGCUCGCUGGGCUCAACCUGACGCUGAGGCGCGAAAGCGUGGGGAGCGAACCGG